RNAcentral lists this ribosomal RNA (411 nucleotides) under uncultured microorganism. RNAcentral describes it as "bacterial SSU rRNA". It matches the Rfam family "Archaeal small subunit ribosomal RNA", at positions 330 to 745 of the family's 1478-position model. The record is from RNAcentral.
GUGCAGCAGUCGCGAAUACUUUACAAUGUGCGAAAGCACGAUAAGGGAACUCUGAGUGCCUCCUAAGGAGGCUGUUCAGGUGUCUAAAAGCACCUGAAGGAAGGGCUGGGUAAGACCGGUGCCAGCCGCCGCGGUAACACCGGCAGCCCAAGUGGUAGCCACGUUUAUUGGGUCUAAAGCGUCCGUAGCCGGCUGGGUAAGUUCCUUGGGAAAUUUGGCUGCUUAACAGUCAAGCUUUCAGGGAAUACUGCCCGGCUUGGGGACCGGGAGAGGUCAGAGGUACUCCAGGGGUAGGGGUGAAAUCCAUUAAUCCUUGGGGGACCACCGGUAGCGAAGGCGUCUGACCAGACCGGGUCCGACGGUGAGGGACGAAGGGCUAGGGGCGCGAACCGGAUUAGAUACCCCUGUAGU